GUGGGGAAUAUUGGACAAUGGGGGGAACCCUGAUCCAGCCAUGCCGCGUGUGUGAAGAAGGCCUUUUGGUUGUAAAGCACUUUAAGCGAGGAGGAGGCUACCGAGAUUAAUACUCUUGGAUAGUGGACGUUACUCGCAGAAUAAGCACCGGCUAACUCUGUGCCAGCAGCCGCGGUAAUACAGAGGGUGCGAGCGUUAAUCGGAUUUACUGGGCGUAAAGCGUGCGUAGGCGGCUUUUUAAGUCGGAUGUGAAAUUCCUGAGCUUAACUUAGGAAUUGCAUUCGAUACUGGAAAGCUAGAGUAUGGGAGAGGAUGGUAGAAUUCCAGGUGUAGCGGUGAAAUGCGUAGAGAUCUGGAGGAAUACCGAUGGCGAAGGCAGCCAUCUGGCCUAAUACUGACGCUGAGGUACGAAAGCAUGGGGAGCAAACAGGAUUAGAAACCCUGGUAGUCC
This 451-nucleotide ribosomal RNA is filed under the name uncultured bacterium. RNAcentral describes it as "partial 16S ribosomal RNA". It matches the Rfam family "Bacterial small subunit ribosomal RNA", at positions 354 to 796 of the family's 1533-position model. The record is from RNAcentral.